GAUGACUCCCACCAAGGAAACUACUGCUGUGUUUAUAAGAAUUAUGUUUUCUCUCAUAACUUCUCCUCUGAGAGUGAGCUCCUCUCUCUAACCGUAACAGCCUCUCCUCUGCCAGCUGUCAUCAUCAGACUGGUCAUAGUGCUGCUGACCACCACAGCUACGUUUCUGCUCUGCAAAUCAAGAGUCAGGUCAGUAGGUGUCAACAGAGAGCUGGAUAGCGGUGCGUGGAGGGGUUGCCCCUGCAUCCCAGGAGGGAGGGCUGCUGGCAGAGAGAGGUGAGAGCAGCCCAGAGGACAGGAGGAAGAGGACGAGUAGGAGGCAAGUCUUUGAACACACUGCCCAAGAUCAGGUUACACACACAUCUUCAGAAUAAGCUACUUAAGAUAUAGGUCACUUCCACUGACUAAUUUCUGAGUAAUUUCCACAAACUGCGGAAAUUGACAUUAGUCGGGUGGGGGGGAUGGUGCAUUUCUAACCUUUUUAAUAUCUCUCAAGUUUGUCCACACACACAAACAUACACACAGAUUUUCAGAAUAAUCAAUGUAAAGAUAUAGGUCAUUUCCACAGUUCUGAGUACAGUAUGUCCUGAGUCAUUUCCUGUAUAUAAAACCCUGAUACUAGCUGGGACUGGUGGGGGUGUGAGAAAGAAAGGUGGAGUAGAGAAAAUGUAUAUGAUGGAAAAAAAUGAUACGUGAUUUUAAUUUCAUAUUUUGGCAACUUUCUCAUCGAUAUUUACUCAUAACUCUUUUCUUGAAUUACAGAUUUGUACACAUGUUGCAGUUUAGUGCUGCUUUGCAUAACUAAUGUAUCCUAUAUCCCAUAACCUGUGUUUUUACGAAUUUAUGGCUGUGUCACAAAUGUCACCCUAUUUUGACCAGUGCCCUAUAGUGCAGUAUGUAUGGAAAGUGCACUAAAUCAAAAAUUGAUUGAUGUAGAAAAUAAUUA
Long non-coding RNA from Oncorhynchus keta (chum salmon), 945 nucleotides. RefSeq lists it as uncharacterized. The record is from RefSeq and is a predicted model, not a curated record. The transcript is spliced from 3 exons. NCBI's taxonomy places the organism in Eukaryota, Metazoa, Chordata, Actinopteri, Salmoniformes, Salmonidae.